Molecule: unclassified non-coding RNA, 3007 nt
Filed under: Hevea brasiliensis (rubber tree)
Lineage: Eukaryota; Viridiplantae; Streptophyta; Magnoliopsida; Malpighiales; Euphorbiaceae
Source: RNAcentral
GCAGUUGCAAAGAGGGCGGAGCUGAAGAGUCUCAGUGGACUAUGGCAGCCUGAUUAUCAACAAGUAGAGUAUAAUGAUUACUUACUCUCGCAAAUUCUUCUCAACUAGUAGUUCCCUUUCGUAUAUACCAAAACAGCUUUCUCAAUACAACCCAACGCCUACUUCCAUUCCCUUUUCUCAGCUUCAACAACAGCUAAGCCUCCUAGAAUCCCACCUCGUCUCCACCCUCGAUGCCUGCACCACCCUCGCUCAAAUCAAACAAGUCCACACUCAUAUUCUCCGUAUAGGACUUGACCAGUGCUGCUAUGUCGUCACCAAACUCGUCCGAACGCUCGCCAACCUCAAUGUUCCCAUGGAGCCAUACCCUCGCUCCAUUUUUGAUCAGGUCAAGUAUCCUAAUCCGUUCCUUUACUCUGCUGUCAUUCGGGGUUAUUCAGUCCAAGGACCUUUAAGUGAAUCUAUUAGAUUGUAUGGUUUGAUGAGAAGGAAAGGUAUUGGGCCUGUGUCAUUUACGUUUUCAGCUAUUCUUAAGGCGUGUGGUGCACUGCCGGAAGUAAGUUUGGGGAAGCAGAUGCAUGCCCAGUCGAUUUUGAUUGGUGGGUUUUGCUCUGAUGUGUUCGUCCGGAAUACGUUGAUCGAUAUGUAUAUAAAAUGCGGGUUUUUGGAGUGCGGGCUUAAAGUUUUCGAUGAAAUGCCUGACAAGGAUGUGAUUUCUUGGACGGAGUUAAUUGUUGCAUAUGCAAAGCGUGGCGAUAUGGAGAUUUCACGUGAGUUGUUUGAUGGCUUGCCUGUGAAGGAUAUGAUGGCCUGGACUGCAAUGGUUACAGGUUUUGCACAGAAUGCUAGGCCAAGAGAGGCAAUAGAGUUUUUUGAGAGAAUGCAGGACGCUGGUGUUGGAACUGAUGAAGUAACUUUGGUAGGUGUUAUUUCGGCUUGUGCUCAAUUAGGUGCAGCUAAAUAUGCUGAUUGGAUUCGUGAUAUUGUUGAGAAACUUGGGCCUGUUUCUGGUCAUAGUGUUGUCUUGGGAUCAGCGUUGGUCGAUAUGUACUCAAAGUGCAUGCGUGUCGAGGAUGCUUAUAAAGUUUUUGAGGGGUUGAAGGAUAGGAACGUGUUUUCUUAUAGCUCAAUGAUUAUGGGUUUUUCCAUGCAUGGCCGUACUGAUGCUGCACUUAAAUUGUUUAAUGAAAUGGUUAAAACGGAGACAAAACCAAACAGGGUUACAUUUAUUGGGGUGCUUACUGCUUGUGUCCAUACAGGUAUGGUAGAAGAAGGUCUGUCCAUAUUUGAUUCCAUGGAGAAAUGUUAUGGUGUUAAACCAUCAGCUGAUCAUUAUACUUGCAUAGUGGAUCUGCUUGGACGAGCAGGACGGUUGAAAGAAGCUCUGGAACUUGUUAAAACAAUGCCAAUUGAGCCCCAUGGAGGAGUGUGGGGAGCACUGCUUGGAGCUUGUCGCAUCCAUGGGAAUCCUGACAUUGCUACAAUCGCAGCUAGCCAUUUGUUUGAGCUUGAACCCAAUGGUAUUGGAAACUACAUCAUCCUUUCUAACAUAUAUGCAUCAGCUGGAAGGUGGCAUGAUGUUUCAUGGGUAAGGAAAUUGAUGAGAAGGAAAGGUCUAAAGAAAAAUCCGGGAUGUAGCUGGAUUGAACCAAAGAAAGGAGUCAUUCAUGAGUUCUUUUCAGGGGAUAUGACCCAUCCCAUGUCCAGUGAGAUUAAGCGAGUACUAAUGGAUCUUCUGGAUAGAUUGGAGGCUAAUGGGUACCAACCAAAACUGAGUUCUGUGCCUUAUGAUGUGUGCGAUGAAGAAAAGAGACGUAUACUGAUGACUCAUAGUGAGAAGUUAGCUUUAGCAUUUGGAUUGAUCAGUAUGAAUCCUGGUUGCUCUAUAAGGAUUAUGAAGAACAUAAGAAUCUGUGAAGAUUGCCACUUAGUAAUGUGUGGUGCAUCUCAAAUCAUGGAGAGAGAGAUUGUUGUCAGGGAUAACAUGAGAUUCCAUCAUUUCUCUAAUGGGACAUGCUCUUGUGGUAAUUUCUGGUGACGGGGAUUUAAAUGUUCUUUAGGAUUGGAGAUUGACCACUAGAAUCCUGUCUUCACAUGGAUGGUUUGUUGCAGCCCGAUCACUUGUGUAUUGUUGCAUUUGCAUAAAAUAUCCUGCUAAUAGAUUCCUUUUAUCAAUGCAUCAGGAUUCCACUGCCCUAAUAAUGUUGCACUUGUUUCAACAAAUCAUCUGCUUGAUACUUCAUGUGGAAGAGCUUCAAUCAUUUGUGGGAGAGCUUCAAUCAUUUGUGGGAGACAAUUUGUUCUAGGUGACACGUCUCUUCCAGAUUUUGAGGCGUUGGUUCUCAAGCUUCAGCUCUGGCACACAAAUACAUGGUGUGAUGCGGUGGAAGAUCCUGAAAUAUUAUUCAGUGCAGGCAAAGAAUGUGCAUAUCAAAGUAAAUUUUGAUGCAGCAGUUGGUGUUCAAAGCAGAAGGGGAUUAGUAGCAACUAUAGCCAGAGAUCAUUUAUGCCAACCCUGUGGAUGGUUUUGCAGAAAAUACAAGGCAAUUACAGAUUCCUUAAUCUUAGAAAGCUUGGCAUGCAGAGAGGCGAUCCCCCUCGCUUUGGCGAAAGGCUUUGGUAGAGUGAUUAUUGAAGGGGAUUCCCAGGUGCUAAUCAGGGCACUGAAUGGAGACGCAUCACCGCUGGACAUUUGGAAUGUUCUUACCGAUAGUAAGAGGCUUUCAACAUCUCUUAUAGAGGUGUCUUUCUCUUUUGUUCGUAGGCAGGGCAACAGCGCUGCUCACAUAGUGAUUCAUCUUUUCUUUUGCUAUGUAGCACGGGCACGGAAAUGCCAACACAGGAAAAUGUAGAAACAGAAACGGGAAAGGGCAUUUUUAAAAUUUUAGGGAAUGAAAACGUGAAAAAUGCAUAAAUAUAAAAAAUAUAAGAAUAUAUAUAUAUAUUAAUUAGAUAAAAUAAUUAAUGAGUUUAUAACUCAAUAAUGUUAGUAUUAUAGUCAUUUUUAUAA